This is a long non-coding RNA of Gigantopelta aegis, 5126 nucleotides long. RefSeq lists it as uncharacterized. The transcript has 3 exons. NCBI's taxonomy places the organism in Eukaryota, Metazoa, Mollusca, Gastropoda, Neomphalida, Peltospiridae. The record is from RefSeq and is a predicted model, not a curated record.
AACCAUAUAACCGUAAAUAAAAUGUGCUGAGUGCGUCGUUAAAUAAAACAUUUCCGUCCUUUCGUCCAUCCUAUUUGAUGUUUGUAUUUAUGGGAUACAUUAUUUCUUUCCAUCAGUAUAUAACAACAAGUCCUUUCACAUCUCACCAAUUGUAGGCAUGGUUGUAUUUAAUGCGACAUUCAAAGUUAGGUGCACUUUGACCCGGUGAGAUGCUAUUUGGUACACUACCUAUCCUAUAGUUCUGGGUCCUGUUCCACAAAGCAAUCUUAGUCCUAAGAUCGCCUUAAGUGCAUAUAUUAGCUGUGCAGUUACGGUGAUCUUAGGGUUAAGAUCGCUUCGUGGAACGGGGCCCUGAACCACACAGGCCUGCUGGAAUUCAUUUCAAAAUGAACUGAGUUUGCUAUAGGAUAGUAGCAGUCACGACACUGUCAAAAUAUCCCUUUCACUCAGCCUUCUGCAGAGAUAUGAUUUUGACUGUGAAAACUAUGAUGUUAUCAUUCACGUUGAACCAUAUCAUCACUAACCCAAUAACCAUGCCAUUAGUUACAAACUGUAUCAUCACCGUUAUAAGCACACAGCCAGUUAAAUAACCAUAUUGUGUUUUAUAAUAUACACCUGGAAAUCAAUUACACACCACCUAGUUUCCAUCAUAGUUAAAACUUAAUUGUGACCACUAUGUUGAUAUAAAACAAUGAAGUGAACUUUCUGUGUAUACAGAACACAUUGAAAAAGACCGACAGCAAGUGACACAGUCUUUAAAUCAUUAUUUACUGUAUUAUAGAGAGAUAAAGACAGAAUGCAUGAAAAUGUAUAGUAACAAACUCCGCAGCUAAACUCACACUGAUAUCUGUCUCUUAAAGGGACAUAUUUUUCACUAUUAAAGCUGUUUUUGAUAAUUUAAAUUAGGAGUACUUACAUUUUAUUAUCUAGAACAUUCAUUUUCAUACACUUGAAGUGGUUCUGGUCAUACAGGUGUUUUUGUAAUAACCCAAAAUGCGUUUUUCAUAAUUCUAAGAAGUCUGAGAAGUAAUGGUUAUCAAGACAGGCUCUAGUCUAUUUUUGAACAAUAUUUUCAGGUUUAAACAUCACAAAUUUCAGCUUUUCUCUGUUUUAAUCUUAUCCAAAUGUUUUGCAGGUGUGAAGAUUAACUAAACUUACUGUCCAUUUUCACAGGCUAAAACAAGGGCCUGCACCUUUAAGUAAUUUAUGCUUGCCAUUUUGGUAAAUACCCUGUAGAUAUUAUGUAAAAUCUCAAAUAUGUUUUAAACUAAACUAGUAUGGAUAAUUUUAUCAAGGCACCUAUUUGGCAGCAAUUCAGUUUAGAUGGUGCGUAAUUAAGUUCCAAGUGUAUUACCAUUAUCAGCAUGGAUGUAAGCAAGGAAUAUGUGAUGUGUUAUCAGUUAAACAACUGUAUUAACACCAAUUUAUCAUUCAGCCCAUGGAAAUUAAGGAGAAAAGCUAUUGUUUCUGUUAUUUCAGCUACAUUAUACGAUGACCUAGAGGUCAAAGGAGAGAUUUUGCAAUGUAGCUAAUGCAGGUGACAUCACACGAGUGACGUCAAAAGUCAUAAUCUGCUACUAUACGUUUAUGACUUCGCUUUAUUCAUCAUCAUAAUCUGUCAAUAGAAACACUGGCUACAGGACAAAAUCAUAUGUUAAGAUUAAACUCAGAAUUUAAUAUCCAUGUGUAAAUAAGACGUCAUUAGUAAUCUGGCAUAACAUAUCAAUAACCAGGACCGUAACCUCCGGGGGUGGGUGGGGGUGCAGUUGCCCCCCCCCUCCCCCCCCUGAGAAUCUCUCUUUCUUUCUUUUCAGCUCCAGAAAAUAGCAUACACAUCUCAGUGUUUAAUUUGCAUAGUGUUUCAUUUGUUUAUGAAAAGUAGUGCCCCCCCCCUCUCCCCAGGAUUUUGAUCAGGGUACGGCCCUGAUAACAUAAGCAUACAUAAUAAAACUAUGCUGCAAUAAAAUGUUAGAAUAAAUAAUGUAUAAUUUCUGUGAAUUUUACAGUAUAUAAAUCAUGAUAUACAAGUAAAAGUCAUCCAAUUGAUAAAAUAAAACUGGAAAUAAUUUAAUUUUUUUCACAAUUUGUAAUAUCAGUUUUUUUUCACAUUUUUGUUUGUUUGUUCCUUUAAUUUAAUUUCAGUAACCUGACAAAUUUAUUAUGAAACCAGCUACCACUUCAUUAAAACAUGGGCACAAUUUUAAAAACUAAACCAAAGACACAAUAUUAAAAAUCAACACUGAACUCAAUUUUAAAUUUAAAAAAAAAAAAGGCAAGAAGACAAAUUUUUAAGAAAGAAAGAAAAAAGAAGAAAAAAAGAUAAGGAAAAUCUACCAACACACUCUUGAAUGAAAUAAAUAAGAGUAACAAUAAUAGAAAUGAUGAAUUAAAGGCUGGCUACAAUUAUCUAAAUUAUCAUGAGCCUACAAACAAUAUUAAAUGUAUGUCAGAAUUUAUUUAAAAACAAAGAAUGUUGACAAAACCAUUUUUUUUAAAUAUUAAAAAUGUAUGCACUCUUUUAGAUACAGAGAGGGAGGAGGAUAAAAAAAACCCAAAACAAACAAACAACAACAACAACCGAAAGAUAGUUUUGGUGGUUUGUAGUCUCAUGAAAAUGUUCAUAAAUGUAUAUUAGCGCUAAAAUGAGUAUUUGUUUUCUAAUCUAAUAAUAAAUUUGCUGUAAACAACACAAUGUAUAAAUAACAGAGACUAGCUCGGGUUGGCUUUCUGGUUACACAAAUCAGACCCCGACAGUUGGUAUACAACAGAGCUGGGAGGUACUCAAAUUUCAGGUUCAGUAUCGAAAUCGGUAUUUUGAGGGUGAUUUACCUUAGUAUCGGUACUGUAUUCGGUAUUGACACAAUACCAAUACCGAUAUCGAGCAGUAUUUUCGGUAUACUCUGCUUUAAAUGCAUGCCCGAGUUAAGGCUCACCCGCUAAUUUCAUAUUUUGCAUUGACACAAAAUAUAUAUGUCCAUCCACUCUUCUUUUCAGCCAUUUUACGUUCAUCAGAUACAUUUAUAUUGUCAGUGUUUUACUAAAUGGCGGGAAACAUUUUUCAAUACCGAAAUUUCAGUAUUUUGAGAUUUUCACAUUACGAUAAAUCGAUAUUAACAUGAUCGAUGCCGAUACAAAAAUGAUCUGUUACCAGCGAUCGUGGCACAAUCACAGUCUGAAGAAGACAAAUCAGUCGGUGACUGAUCUGUGUAAAUCACAAAGCUGACCUGAGCUAGCCUUUAAACAACACAACACAAUUUAUAUUUCAACAAUUCUGUCUGUAUACCAGGGAUUUUAUUCAUGAUUCACAAAAAUGCAAUUUUCCGAGAUUGCAACACAAGUUUAAAAUGGUAAACAGUAGUUGAUAAUUGAUUUUUAGUAAGUAACUGUCACUAAUUUUUUUUUUAAUUAAAAAAUGCCUUGUAUAUCAGGGGUAGAAAUUAAGAAAUAUUUCCACUGGUCUGGGCCCCAUUCCACGAAGUGAUCUUAGGGCUAAGAUCACCUUAAGUACAUAAGGUAGUGACACGCUUAAGGUGAUCUUAGGGCUAAGAUCACCAUAAGUACAUAAGGUAGUGACACGCUUAAGGUGAUCUUAGGGCUAAGAUCACCUCAAGUACAUAAGGUAGUGACACGCUUAAGGUGAUCUUAGGGCUAAGAUCACCUCAAGUACAUAAGGUAGUGACACGCUUAAGGUGAUCUUAGGGCUAAGAUCACCUCAAGUACAUAAGGUAGUGACACGCUUAAGGUGAUCUUAGGGCUAAGAUCACCGUAAGUACAUAAGGUAGUGACACGCUUAAGGUGAUCUUAGGGCUAAGAUCACCUUAAGUACAUAAGGUAGUGACACGCUUAAGGUGAUCUUAGGGCUAAGAUCACCUAAGUACAUAAGGUAGUGACACGCUUAAGGUGAUCUUAGGGCUAAGAUCACCUAAGUACAUAAGGUAGUGACACGCUUAAGGUGAUCUUAGGGCUAAGAUCACCUCAAGUACAUAAGGUAGUGACACGCUUAAGGUGAUCUUAGGGCCAAGAUCACCUCAAGUACAUAAGGUAGUGACACGCUUAAGGUGAUCUUAGUGCUAAUAUCGCUUCGUGGAACGGGGCCCUGGGGUCUAGAAGCCUUGAAAGGUUUAGUCCCCCCGAAAAAAUAACCAUUAAUAGUCCGUCUACUACUGGGACAUCCUGAGACGAUAUCACAAUCUAGCAAACUGUUAAGAAACACACAUGCAGUCAGCAUCUUAAAUUUGGCUCAUAUAUGCUCAGAAUUAUUAAAAUUGACCCAGGGGAUUAGCAUAAUUUAAACUGUACUCAUUCACAACGAUUUUCUACUUGCCUGAGUCAAGGGGGUGAGUGUUAGUUUCUCUCCUUUGGUAUACAGAGGAAUCGAGUAAUAAAAGCGCUCAUCACAAGAGAACACAUGAAUAGGAAAUAUUGCUGCAACAUGUAACAGGAUAAUCUGUAUGUGAAGAUUAAAAGUGAAAAUGUAUAAAAUAAAUAUUCCUAUAUACAAUAUAAACUAAAGGUUUCCCAGAAAGAUAUUCAAUAAUGAUCUGUUAGCAAAGGCUGGUUUUGUCAGUAGUGUAGACUCAUUCAAUAAAAAAAAACAAAAAACCCACAAGCCGCCAUACAUUCACACACACAAAUUAAAAUUGAUUCUUACACACCAUGCAAUAUUCAUGAUAUCACACAGCAAUAACAUAUACAUAUUUGAGAGAUCGCCACAGCCAUACCAUCCAGUGAAAUAAGCACAACUGAAACUGACUGCUCUGUGACAUGUAAGUUGAUCUGAAAGUGAUUGCACUGUGUAGCAUGAGCUAACCACAGUGAAAGUGUCACGUCAGCAAAAAUAGGUCAUAUCUAAAACCACGGGAUAUCUAAAUCAUUCAACUGUAAACAGCUCUGAAAUGUUUAAUGUGAUGGCUGACCAGUUUAAAUCACAACUCAAUCUUUAUUAAUGUAACAGGUUAAGGUUCCACUGUUUGACAGAGAGUUGUCUUUCCUUCCAUUUGGUGGGCGGGACAUACAUACAAUGGUAAAACACUCACUUGAUGCCCUGUCAGUCUAGGAUCGAUCCCUGUCAAUGGCCCCAUUGGGCUAUUUCUCAUUCCAGCCAGUGCACCAUGUCUGGUGUAGGA